RNAcentral lists this non-coding RNA (30 nucleotides) under Rattus norvegicus (Norway rat). The record is from RNAcentral. Lineage: Eukaryota; Metazoa; Chordata; Mammalia; Rodentia; Muridae.
UACAAUGGUAAUGUUGGGUGGAGUCUGGGA